UACGUAGGUGGCAAGCGUUAUCCGGAUUUAUUGGGCGUAAAGGGAACGCAGGCGGUCUUUUAAGUCUGAUGUGAAAGCCCACGGCUCAACCGUGGAGGGUCAUUGGAAACUGGGAAACUUGAGUGCAGAAGAGGAAAGUGGAAUUCCAUGUGUAGCGGUGAAAUGCGCAGAGAUAUGGAGGAACACCAGUGGCGAAGGCGACUUUCUGGUCUGUAACUGACGCUGAUGUGCGAAAGCGUGGGGAUCAAACAGG
RNAcentral lists this ribosomal RNA (253 nucleotides) under uncultured bacterium. RNAcentral's name for it is "partial 16S ribosomal RNA". It matches the Rfam family "Bacterial small subunit ribosomal RNA", at positions 524 to 776 of the family's 1533-position model. The record is from RNAcentral.